GCUUUCCUCUGGGGCAGCCUGGGUUGCCAUGAUAAGGAGGGGUUGGAUUUUCCAUGUGCUGGUGUUAUUUCUGUGGAAUCAUGGAGCCCCUGCCAUGCUUUGGUGUUGGAGAAGACACACAAAAGGAAGGGGAAUUGGGAGGACAGAUACCUCAGCCUGCUGAUAAAGGGAUUUCUGGUGAGGUGAUGAUUCAGGAGGCACAAGGAUUGCCCUGGUUCUGGAGUGGUGCCCACGCAGGGAGAGGGGAAGAAGCACUUCCAGCAUGGGAUUGGUGCCUCUGGCUCCUCCAUCCUCUGCUUCUCCACACGUGCUCUGAGGAGCUACCAGAUCCACAGCCUGUUUGCAGCCAUGCUGUAAUUGCUGCUGGAGAAGCCUUUUCGUUGGGGGAGAGAACAAGUAGCAGCACGACAGCUCAGAACAAACCCUCUCCCAUCUUCCCAGGGCACAUUUUGUACACCAGAACAGAGAUCCCAGCUCAGAGAUGCCCAUCUCCAGCCCAGAGGGGUCCCAGCCCCACUGCCCCAGCAGAAGGGAGCAACUGA
Molecule: long non-coding RNA, 542 nt
Filed under: Chloebia gouldiae (Gouldian finch)
Lineage: Eukaryota; Metazoa; Chordata; Aves; Passeriformes; Passeridae
Description: Erythrura gouldiae (Gouldian finch) lncRNA (ENSEGOG00005005467.1)
Source: RNAcentral